UCAAGGGCUUCGUUUUAGGGACCGUUGCAGUCCUCUGGAGCGCUUCGGCACCGGAAUUAUUCCACUGCAGCGCCGAGACAGAUCGGCCGUCCUGUCAAGAAGACUGCGAGCUAGUGCAGUGAUUGUCGUCUUACUCCGUGCAUGAGCCAGUUGAUGACCUGCACACGUAUUCUUCGUGCCAGUGCUCCGAACCUACUAUCGGCGUCAGUGCAUUCACGUGUUUCUUGCGGCUCAUCGUAGAAAGCCGGAUCAGUUCAAGCACGGCCCGAUACAUAACUGCGGCGGACUUUGAACUUGCAAAAAGAAAACAGCUACGAAGAUUCCUGUCACCAGUGGGUGUGUUGCCUGUGUGCGUGUGUCGCUUGCGCGAGCGCCGGCCGUCGCCCCGUCGGCGCUGUUUGUACUCGGGCGGAUUGUCACUGCCUACGCUAAUCCAAUGACGGCGAAACACACCGCAGCAAAGCGAGCAUCUUUGUAAACGAGCAGGAACCAGGUUGCCAACACACGCACGAAGAGCAACUGCCUUUCCAACUGUGCUGUGUGUGCUGCGCUUGCAUUGGUGUGCAAGUGGAGGAGAGGUCCAGUUAAUGUCCUGAUGCACUAUAAUAGCCGUCGAAAUAUUCUGCUUAAGACAUUUGUCACUUUUCUGACAUCCUAACAGCUCAAACAUCACCCCUAAAAGCAGUUUGAGUGCAUGUAUUUGCCUUCAUAGACACGUUGUAGCUGAAGUCAUUGUAUUUCUCAUCCAGA
Dermacentor albipictus is the source of this 750-nucleotide non-coding RNA. Lineage: Eukaryota; Metazoa; Arthropoda; Arachnida; Ixodida; Ixodidae. The record is from RefSeq and is a predicted model, not a curated record.